AUUGAAUGAGCCUGGUUGGGCCAGGACACCGGGGGAACCCCUACUCUUUGCGAUAAGUGCCCUGGGAUCUUUUAUGACCUCAGUGAGUCAGGACCUCGGUUUUACGUCUCCUCCGAAGGACGAGUACAACUUAACGUCUCUGGAACUGAAAACCUCCCAGAAUCGACCUCAUCCUUCGACUCUUAUCAAUAGUCAUUCAUGUAGGUAGAUACUGCUGGCAUUGUGCAUCAUUCAAUCACAUUCAAUAACAAUGCAUUGCCUUUGAAAUCUUCUAGUUCCGUCUUGGGUUGUAGUAGGAUUGUAUUGGCAGUAUUUAAGUCUUGGUAUAGGCUGUCUUGAUGACUCACAGCCUUGUGUGGUUGGGCUGUGGCUGCUGGACUGGCUACUGCCUCGAGUGCCUCCUGUAUUGACCUUGGCGUGGACGUGCUAACCGGUAGAGCAAAGAGAGCUCUCUUUAAAUCGCUUCUCUGAGGAAAACUGCUGCAACCAAGUCAGGGUUAGUCAGGAUUCCUGGAGUCAACUCUAGUGUAGUUAAUAAUGCUUUAACGGCAUUAAGACGUAAACUGGGGACUAAUGUGAAGGAGUCCUUGAAGGAAGAUAAAUAUACAUAGUAGAAAACACAUGAAGGUGAGUAAUUUCCAUGCCCUCAACAUUGGGUAGUUGAUAUUAUAAUGUAGUCACGGACAAGGCCAAAUGCUACUUCUGCUUGUUUUAAAGGUCAGAUGUAUUUGUGUGUUUGAGGGUUUUUAUCUACACCUGUUCCUUUAUCAGGUAUGUUUAAAUGGGACAUAUUAUGCCACCAGGUGUGAGUGUGAUUAGCCUUACAAGCCGUUUCGAAAAUCUGCCCCAUAUGACAUUACUAGUAGGCGUGUCCGCCUAGAUCUGUGCUGGAUAGGCUAAUCACACUGACACCUGGUGGUAUAAUAUGUCCCCUUUAAUAGGGUUUAUCAGGCGGCCUGCUGACCUUCCCCCGCCUGCAGUAAACUGAACUGGAAACUCGCAUUUUGGCGCCAUCUGGCCUUGGAUCCCGUUGAUGCGCUCACGUUGACGUUGCUGCGCGCUCAUUGGACCGUUAUACUGUCCGUCCAAAAGUAGUUGGGGAACUGCGUUGGAUCCGCCCUCCUCCCAAACUGAACUUCGGCGGCGCUUCCCAGGAUUGUCAUGAGAGGACUUUUCACUUUCCAGGGUGGACGCGGCGGGACAAGACAAGAAAAGUUCCUGGUCCAGGUGAAGUACGGCCAACAGCAGAAGUAUGUGAAGUUGGAUGAGGAUGAAGGACGGUUUGACUUUCGGCAAUUCCAUGAAAAAGUCAAUGAGGUGGAGCAGAACCACCAGGGUCAGGACGGAGAAGCCCAGCAGCACCAGGACACGCAGCAGAACCCCCGCCGUAGGAUCUGCAAGAGAUCACACCGACCUCCAUGAGCUGAUGGUACAACGCCUCCAUGAGCUGAUGGUACAACGCCUCCAUGAGCUGAUGGGUUUAUCAGGCGGCCUGCUGACCUUCCCCCGCCUGCAGUAAACUGAACUGGAAACUCGCAUUUUGGCGCCAUCUGGCCUUGGAUCCCGUUGAUGCGCUCACGUUGACGUUGCUGCGCGCUCAUUGGACCGUUAUACUGUCCGUCCAAAAGUAGUUGGGGAACUGCGUUGGAUCCGCCCUCCUCCCAAACUGAACUUCGGCGGCGCUUCCCAGGAUUGUCAUGAGAGGACUUUUCACUUUCCAGGGUGGACGCGGCGGGACACGACAAGAAAAGAUCCUGGUCCAGGUGAAGUACGGCCAACAGCAGAAGUAUGUGAAGUUGGAUGAGGAUGAAGGACGGUUUGACUUUCGGCAUUCCAUGAAAAAGUCAAUGAGGUGGAGCACAACCACCAGGGUCAGGACGGAGAAGCCCAGCAGCACCAGGACACGCAGCAGAACCCCCGCCGUAGGAUCUGCAAGAGAUCACACCGACCUCCAUGAGCUGAUGGUACAGCGCCUCCAUGAGCUGAUGGGUUUAUCAGGCGGCCUGCUGACCUUCCCCCGCCUGCAGUAAACUGAACUGGAAACUCGCAUUUUGGCGCCAUCUGGCCUUGGAUCCCGUUGAUGCGCUCACGUUGACGUUGCUGCGCGCUCAUUGGACCGUUAUACUGUCCGUCCAAAAGUAGUUGGGGAACUGCGUUGGAUCCGCCCUCCUCCCAAACUGAACUUCGGCGGCGCUUCCCAGGAUUGUCAUGAGAGGACUUUUCACUUUCCAGGGUGGACGCGGCGGGACAAGACAAGAAAAGAUCCUGGUCCAGGUGAAGUACGGCCAACAGCAGAAGUAUGUGAAGUUGGAUGAGGAUGAAGGACGGUUUGACUUUCGGCAUUCCAUGAAAAAGACUAGGUCUAUAGCAAGAGACAUCGAAACGAGGAUACACGUGAUGCUGCGUCUGCCUAGCAGGUUUCUUAACACUUAACACAAACUGGCCAUGCAUAAAUGUGCUAAUUUGCCAUUGCAUAAAUGUACUAAUGUACUAAUUUAAUAUCUCCUCUCAGGCACCUCCCCACUAAAGCAAUCAGAGAAGAUUAUGCACAUGGUCUAUUGAUUCGGUUCCCUUCCCUCAAGGAUCCAUGUUCCAAGAAGGGCUAAUCAAUGAGGUGGAGCACAACCACCAGGGUCAGGACGGAGAAGCCCAGCAGCACCAGGACACGCAGCAGAACCCCCGCCGUAGGAUCUGCAAGAGAUCACACCGACCUCCAUGAGCUGAUGGUACAGCGCCUCCAUGAGCUGAUGGUACGCCUUGAGUGGUCAGAAAAGGCUAAUGGAGUCCAUCUACCAUUCAUACCAACCAUCAUGGGGUUAUGUCUGAAACUAACAGACUUUCUGUAUAAAUAAUAGGAUGAAAGAGGGUAAGAUAGUCCUGUGGCGUCACUAGGCUGUUUUAUACGGGACGUCAGACUAGGCUUUUCCGAUGUAGUCUGGCGUCACGAGUCACGACCAAGGGGCAGCGGCGGAUAGUGUGGCCGUGUGGAGCUCUGCCUGGGCAGCGGUGUAUUUAAUACCCGUGUCCGGGCGAGGGUUCGAUAUAAGAAUAUAUAUAUUUCAAGAAAAUUCAAAAUACAACAUCGCUCAUUAUAACACUCGUAACAGUUACACAACGACCGUACUAAAAAAGUAUCAUGAAGUUGCCGUGGGUCGUAACCAUGGGGAUAACACGCCCCCCUCUUUCCUAAAACUCGGCCCAAAACAAAUUUUUUUAAUCAAGUGUUCGAAUCCCAGCCGAAGCAGCGGGCUCACUGGCUCUUUAACGUUAAAAAUAAGAAAGCAGAGUGUUUCCUGAGAUGGCUUCAGGUGUGUAUACGAAACGAAGACUGGAGGAUACAUACAGCUGGUCUGAAGUUGGACUAUCAACGCUUUCCCGGAAUUCACUCCAUUGAAGGCGACGAUCUAAAAACACAAGAGUUUCAGUUGAACAAGGUGCGACACAUACCUGGAUAGGUCUGGCGGGAAGGGGUCGUCACACCUACCGAUACCGUGUACCCCGUGGAGUAGCUCAGAUCACCGAAUUGGAAAAAACAUUUUUCGUUGGUUUUUUUUUCUUCAGAUCCAGUGAUUGUGGCGUGGUAGAAUAUUUUUGGACCUUUCCAAUCCUCCUUUUUUAAAUCAGUGCAUUCCACCUUGAAGGCAUUGUUCUCCACCUGAGUUGUUAGUUUAAUUGUAACGUCUUGGGGCACUAAGAGACAGAGGAGGAUGAAUCACGUUCACUUUCACACGUUUCAGAGUCAGUUUAACACGUUCAAUUACAUUAUUGAUGACUAUUCUUCUUGAUCUAUGUGUACUCCAGAUUCAGAUAACUUUAUUUAUCCCUAUUGGGAAGUUGUUUGGGUCACAGUGCUUCUCUGCUCCAGAGAGAAAGACGGUCUUGCUGCUGUGUGCUCAGUAUUGUGGUAUACUGUAGGCUAUUUGUAUAUUUGACAUAGGGUAAUGAAAAAAAGUGCUUCUGCGAAUUAUACCUCCUAUGUUUUAGUUAUAGUUUUACAAGAGCUCACCUCCAGCGCUGGUUUUGCUCUGUUUAUUGGUUGCCGUGCCAAUGGGUGUACCGUUGAAAUUAGGUUGAAUUUCGCAAUUAUACUCAGUGAAGGGCAGCAAACCAGUCACUUCACAAGAACGCGCCUUUGAGGGGCGAGCUAAAGGAGACAAAGCAAUACAUGAAGACACCAUUGACCAACAGUAGAACAGACUGCAUGGCUUGUUUCUUUCUUUGUAUUUGAAUUGAAAUAAAUAUCUUAAUAGAUCU
This is a long non-coding RNA of Gadus morhua (Atlantic cod), 4254 nucleotides long. RefSeq lists it as uncharacterized. The transcript is spliced from 13 exons. The record is from RefSeq and is a predicted model, not a curated record. NCBI's taxonomy places the organism in Eukaryota, Metazoa, Chordata, Actinopteri, Gadiformes, Gadidae.